Long non-coding RNA from Gallus gallus (chicken), 960 nucleotides. The record is from Ensembl. Lineage: Eukaryota; Metazoa; Chordata; Aves; Galliformes; Phasianidae.
GCUGUGACAUAACUUGAUUUCACUGAUAAUUUGAAUUAACAUCCACAGGUACUCUGGAAAACCCUACUUUCCAUAUGAAUCUAUGUAUGUAAGUAAGUACAUCAAAAAUACUUGCAUUUUAUUGGCAUUUCGUUUACGAUUAGAGCCUUUUUCCUUUUUUCUUUUUUUGAAAUGUUUGCAGACUGAAAGGGUCUUGAUGUGUAGUAUUGGGCAAAGUGGAGAUGGGUGUAUUGUGGCAUGGACAACAUAAAUUCAGUUGUCUGGGAUCAUGGAGAAGAGGAAUUAUCCCUAUGGGAAGAUAGCAGGUGGAUUAGUUACUAGGCCGCAUCUGCAAUAUGCAAUUAAAGGAAAACAUCUGUUUCACAUCAUCUAUUUCUUCUUUUCCAGGACACUCCUCUGGUUUUUCUCUGACACUGCAACCUGGAGACAAGUCAUUUCUCUAAUGAAGCCAUGCAAACAUCAUGUGUUCCUCCGUGGAAAGAAGUGAAGAAGGCCAGGAGCAACAGGACACAGAGCAAACUUAAGUUACAAAGUCCUAACCGGAAGCAAGCAGAGAUGCUGGAGCUGUCCUGGAGAAAGAUAGAGUCACAGAAUCAUAGAACCACCAAGGCUGGAAAAGAUCUCCAAGGUCCAACCCAGUCCAACCUCAACUCACCCCCACCACGCCCACUGACCAUGACCCCACAGUGUCACACCUCCACAUUUCUUGAACACCUCCACGGAUGGUGACCCCACCACCUCCCUGGGCAGCCUGUGCCAAUGCCUGACCACCCUUUCCGAGAAGACAUUUCUCCUAAUGCCCAACAUGGAACAGAAUAGAGAUGUGGGGAACCCUGUGGCACCGAAUCUGGGAGUCUGAUGAAAGUUUUCCCCUGGGAUUACUGUUGCACAAACACAAUUACCAACAGCUAAAGGAUAACUGCGCUGACUGUCAAGGUAAGUAAGCACUGGGCUUUCUAG